ACAAACACAGGGAAGAGGAGUAGUAAAACCUUUGGAUGUUUUCAGAGAGUCUGCGGCUGGUGCGAGCAGAUAACGGAAGAAUGUUUGAACUGGCCUCGGAGUGGUUCGCUGAACUGAGAGCAAGUAGGCGCAACCGGCGAGUCGGCCGUUAUACCGACAGGAUAUUGGUUCUUACAGCCUGUAUCUGGGAAAGUGUAUUCCUUUUCGGGAAUAAAAAAGAGUGGUACCGCGGAGAUUUCUGGUCUUUCGUCUCUUAA
RNAcentral lists this non-coding RNA (257 nucleotides) under Bacillota bacterium. RNAcentral describes it as "Firmicutes bacterium T-box sequence". It matches the Rfam family "T-box leader". Rfam says of the family: Uncharged tRNA acts as the effector for transcription antitermination of genes in the T-box leader family. T-boxes are found upstream of many aminoacyl-tRNA synthetase genes and some amino acid biosynthetic genes usually in Gram-positive bacteria. The anticodon of a specific tRNA base pairs to a specifier sequence within the T-box motif, and the NCCA acceptor tail of the tRNA base pairs to a conserved bulge in the T-box antiterminator hairpin. Lineage: Bacteria; Bacillati; Bacillota. The record is from RNAcentral.